This 881-nucleotide ribosomal RNA is filed under the name Chaetoceros curvisetus. RNAcentral's name for it is "partial Bacterial large subunit ribosomal RNA". It matches the Rfam family "Bacterial large subunit ribosomal RNA", at positions 1127 to 1892 of the family's 2925-position model. The record is from RNAcentral. Lineage: Eukaryota; Bacillariophyta; Thalassiosirophyceae; Chaetocerotales; Chaetocerotaceae.
AGAGUGCGUAAUAGCUCACUGGUCAAGUGAUUCCGCGCCGACAAUGUAGCGGGGCUCAAGUUAUCCGCCGAAGCUGUGGCAACCUGUGUGGUUGGGUAGGGGAGCGUCGUGUCAGUGGUGAAGCUGCCGGGUGACUGUGUGGUGGAGUUGAUGCGAGUGAGAAUGCAGGCAUGAGUAGCGUGUGACGGGUGGGAAACCCGUCCGCCGAAUAUCCAAGGGUUCCAGGGUCAAGUUUGUCUGCCCUGGGUGAGUCGGGGCCUAAGGCGAGGCCGACAGGCGUAGUCGAUGGGUAACCAGUUGAUAUUCUGGUACCGGCUUGUCACCGUCCGUGUCGAGGUGUGUGAUGCUAAGCAUGUGAGCUUGUCUUGGGAGUGUUUUUGAUGCUUCUGGGGUGGGUGAGUGUGUGAACCGAUCAUGUAGUAGGCAAGCUGCGGAGGGACGCAGUGAGGUAGCUCAUCCCCGGUGAUGGUUGUCCGGGGCUAAGUGUGUGGACUGUCUGGUAGGUAAAUCCGCUGGGCGUGAAGGUUGAGGCAUGAUGGGGAGCCCACGGUUGUGGGUGAGUGAGUGAUCCUGUACUGUCGAGAAAAGCUUCGUGAGCGAGGUGGCGGGUCCGCCCGUACCCUAAACCGACACUGGUGGAUAGGUAGAGUAUACCGAGGCGAUCGAGUGAAUCGUGGUGAAGGAACUCGGCAAAAUGCCCCCGUAACUUUGGGAUAAGGGGGACCUGAGCUGUCGUGCACCCGUGCGGUGUGGUGGCGGUGAGGGGCGCAGAGUCCAGGGGGAAACGACUGUUUACCAAAAACACAGGUCCGUGCGAAGUCGUAAGACGAUGUAUACGGACUGACUCCUGCCCGGUGCUGGAAGGUUAAGGGGAACUGUGA